UACAGAGACUCCAAGCGUUAUUCGGAUUCACUGGGCGUAAAGGGAGCGCAGGCGGCCAGAUGUGUCAGAGGUGAAAUGCUGCAGCUUAACUGUAGAACUGCCUUUGAAACUAUCUGGCUAGAGUAUCGGAGAGGUAAGCGGAAUUCCAGGUGUAGCAGUGAAAUGCGUAGAUAUCUGGAGGAACACCAAUGGCGAAGGCAGCUUACUGGACGAUUACUGACGCUCAGGCUCGAAAGCAUGGGGAGCGAAAGGG
Molecule: unclassified non-coding RNA, 253 nt
Filed under: uncultured Verrucomicrobiota bacterium
Lineage: Bacteria; Pseudomonadati; Verrucomicrobiota
Description: uncultured Verrucomicrobia bacterium contains 16S-23S intergenic spacer region
Rfam family: Bacterial small subunit ribosomal RNA
Source: RNAcentral